RNAcentral lists this ribosomal RNA (519 nucleotides) under uncultured bacterium. RNAcentral describes it as "bacterial SSU rRNA". It matches the Rfam family "Bacterial small subunit ribosomal RNA", at positions 32 to 526 of the family's 1533-position model. The record is from RNAcentral.
AAUCAACGCUGGCGGCGUGCCUCAGACAUGCAAGUCGAACGCGAAAGUCCCCUUCGGGGGAUGAGUAGAGUGGCGCACGGGUGAGUAACACGUAGGUAAUCUACCCUCGGGUGGGGAAUAACAACCGGAAACGGUUGCUAAUACCGCAUAAUGCAGCGGCACCUAAUGGUGACAGUUGUUAAAGCGGGGGAUCGCAAGACCUCGCGCCUGAAGAGGAGCCUGCGGCGGAUUAGCUAGUUGGCAGGGUAACGGCCUACCAAGGCGACGAUCCGUAGCCGGCCUGAGAGGGCGGUCGGCCACACUGACACUGACAUACGGGUCAGACUCCUACGGGAGGCAGCAGUCGGGAAUUUUGGGCAAUGGGCGAAAGCCUGACCCAGCAACGCCGCGUGAAGGAUGAAAUCCCUCGGGAUGUAAACUUCGCAAGAACGGGGAGAAUAAGCCGGUGUCAACACCACCGGCGAUGACGGUACCGUUUGUAAGCUCCGGCUAACUCCGUGCCAGCAGCCGCGGUAAUAC